GAUCAUGGCUCAGGAUGAACGCUGGCGGCGUGCCUAACACAUGCAGGUCGAGCGAAGCGCUUUGCUUAGAUUCUUCGGAUGAAGAGGAUUGUGACUGAGCGGGCGGACGGGUGAGGUAACGCGUGGGUAACCUGCCUCAUACAGGGGGAUAACAGUUAGAAAUGACUGCUAAUACCGCAUAAGACCACAGCACCGCAUGGUGCGGGGGUAAAAACUCCGGUGGUAUGAGAUGGACCCG
RNAcentral lists this ribosomal RNA (238 nucleotides) under uncultured bacterium. RNAcentral's name for it is "partial 16S ribosomal RNA". It matches the Rfam family "Bacterial small subunit ribosomal RNA", at positions 15 to 233 of the family's 1533-position model. The record is from RNAcentral.